AAAGAUGGCGGAGCAUGAGGAAAGAAAAAAGAUACCUUUGGUCCCAGAAAAUCUACUGAAAAAGAGGAAGGCUUAUCAAGCCCUCAAAGCCACCCAGGCAAAGCAGGCACUUUUGGCAAAGAAGGAGCAGAGAAAAGGAAAAGAGCUCAGUUUUAAGCGACUAGAAUCAUUUCUGCAUGAUUCCUGGCGACAGCAGCGUGACACGGUGCGUGUCAGACGACUAGAAGUGAAAUCUCAUGCCUUGGAAUUACCAGAUAAACAUUCCCUAGCCUUUGUUGUACGCAUCCAAAGGAUUAAUGGAGUGAGUUUACUGGUGCAGAAGACCAUUACAAGACUUCACCUAAAAAAAAUUUUCAGUGGUGUCUUUGUUAGAGUCACCCCUCAGAGUCUGAAAAUGCUACGUAUAGUGGAACCUUAUGUGACCUGGGGAUUUCCAAAUCUGAAAUCUGUCCGGGAACUCAUCUUGAAACGUGGACAAGCCAAGGUCAAGAAUAAGACCAUUCCUCUGACAGAUAACACAGUCAUCGAGGAGCACCUAGGAAGGUUUGGUGUCAUUUGCUUGGAAGACCUCAUUCAUGAAAUUGCCUUCCCGGGGAAAUAUUUCCAGGAGAUCUCAAGGUUUUUAUGUCCUUUCCAACUCUCAGUGGCCCGUCAUGAAUAAAGUGGGCUUCUUCAAAGAGAUCGGCUCACCUGGCUAUCGGGGUGAGAGCAUCAAUCAGCUCAUCCGCCAGUUGAACUAGUCCCCGAAUAUCUGAAACCAUGGUGCACUGGAAGCAUGUAUUUUUGGUUUUUGGAAUUAUUACCAA
Nycticebus coucang (slow loris) is the source of this 806-nucleotide RNA transcript. It is a transcript of the gene named 60S ribosomal protein L7-like 1, with no coding region annotated. NCBI's taxonomy places the organism in Eukaryota, Metazoa, Chordata, Mammalia, Primates, Lorisidae. The transcript has a single exon. The record is from RefSeq and is a predicted model, not a curated record.